RNAcentral lists this ribosomal RNA (253 nucleotides) under uncultured bacterium. Its description in RNAcentral is "partial 16S ribosomal RNA". It matches the Rfam family "Bacterial small subunit ribosomal RNA", at positions 524 to 776 of the family's 1533-position model. The record is from RNAcentral.
UACAGAGGGGGCAAGCGUUGUUCGGAAUUACUGGGCGUAAAGGGCGCGUAGGUGGCCUUCUAAGUUGAACGUGAAAUCCCUGGGCUCAACCCAGGAACUGCGUCCAAGACUGGGAGGCUUGAAUCCGGGAGAGGGAUGCGGAAUUCCAGGUGUAGCGGUGAAAUGCGUAGAUAUCUGGAGGAACACCGGUGGCGAAGGCGGCAUCCUGGACCGGUAUUGACACUGAGGCGCGAAAGCCAGGGGAGCGAACGGG